Molecule: long non-coding RNA, 1130 nt
Filed under: Venturia canescens
Lineage: Eukaryota; Metazoa; Arthropoda; Insecta; Hymenoptera; Ichneumonidae
Description: uncharacterized LOC122413674, transcript variant X4
Source: RNAcentral
CAAAAAUACGUAAGAAAGCACCCUAUUAAUUUCCGAUAAUUAAAAAAUAAGUGAGAAAAAUGGUUUUUAAGACAAAAUUUGGCAUAUCGAGCACCACUGGGGACGUAAAGAAGGAUGGAGGAUAGCGUACAUCUCUGUCGCACUCAUUAGAGUGCGUUGUGCGCACGCGUGGCUCGCACAACGUGUUGAGACGUGAGCCGCGUCAAUGAGUGCGACAAGGACGGGCAAUAAGUAAGAAAGAUAGAGAUAGGGAGAUUUCCGUAAAUCGGUCCCAAGACAUCUUUUGGAUUUUUGGCCUAUCAUCUAGACAGUCCUGCGCGACGCCCUAACAUGUGUAUAUAGAAAUAGGGAUCUGCGCAGGGGCAAUAUAUUCGCAUCGAGUUGUAGCUAGUUUAAAUCAUAAAAUUAUUUCGUAUACCGGUAAUAAUUUUCAAUCUUUCAUUCUAUAACAAACCACAUGACGUGACGGAGUGAAAAACUCAUUUGAAUAUAACGUUCGUCUAGACGAAAGUGUGCAGUUAUAAUUUUUAUUUUAUUUGCAAUAAUCUUUUAGUGAACUUUUCAUCUUUUGUGAGAAAACAUCCACUGAGAUACAAAUGAGUAUUCUGAACGGCUACAAGGCAAAGUAGGCCUAUGUUUUUGCUGAUUCACUACAUAUGGAAUGAAUUCAAGCCAUUGGUAUGUACGGUUGUCUGUUGACGUCCCAGGACAUGACGUAUCAACUAUUUGUGUUGAGGCUGAUGCAACUCGUCUCCUGGACUGGUUUUCUCAUUUUGCAUCAAUCGUAGAUCCGAGGGACUAUCCAGCAGGCUCUCAAGAUAUUAUGUACUUCUUGCAAUUCCCCUAUGGUUUGCCACAAUUAUGAGCACAGCGAAUUGUUUCCAAGCGGAUACUUUUGACAGCUGCUCUGUUGUCGUUCCAUCGCCUUGGAAAACCACGAUCACUUCAAGCAACCCAAGUAAAAUAACCCACGUGAAUCAACUUUGAAGUAUUGUAACGGUACGAUGGUGACAGAACACCCUGUUACGCGUGAAUUCGAGCUUCUUAUGAAUAAAAGGAGCAGGUAUGAAAGAAAAACAAGAGUUAACUCAAAGUAAUGUGGAAAUAAACAAAAGAAAGCUUUUAUUCAA